RNAcentral lists this ribosomal RNA (253 nucleotides) under uncultured bacterium. Its description in RNAcentral is "partial 16S ribosomal RNA". It matches the Rfam family "Bacterial small subunit ribosomal RNA", at positions 524 to 776 of the family's 1533-position model. The record is from RNAcentral.
UACGUAGGGGGCAAGCGUUGUCCGGAAUCAUUGGGCGUAAAGAGCGCGUAGGCGGCCCUGUAAGUCCGCUGUGAAAGUCAAGGGCUCAACCCUUGAAUGCCGGUGGAUACUGCAGGGCUAGAGUCCGGAAGAGGCGAGUGGAAUUCCGGGUGUAGCGGUGGAAUGCGUAGAGAUCCGGAAGAACACCGGUGGCGAAGGCGGCCCGCUGGGCAGUGGCUGACGCUGAGGCGCGACAGCGUGGGGAGCAAACAGG